AGCAGCCGCGGUAAUUCCAGCUCCAAUAGCGUAUAUUAAAGUUGUUGCAGUUAAAAAGCUCGUAGUUGAAUUUCGGGGUCAGUAGGUUGGUCGUGCCACUGGUAUGCACUGGUCUCACUGAUUCCUCCUUCCUGAUGAGCCGUAAUGCCAUUAAUUUGGUGUUGCGGGGAAUCUGGACUGUUACUUUGAAAAAAUUAGAGUGUUUAAAGCAGGCUAACGCUUGAAUACAUUAGCAUGGAAUAAUGAAAUAGGACGAUCGAUCCUAUUUUGUUGGUUUCUAGGAUUGACGUAAUGAUUAAUAGGGAUAGUUGGGGGCAUUAGUAUUCAAUUGUCAGAGGUGAAAUUCUUGGAUUUAUUGAAGACUAACUACUGCGAAAGCAUUUGCCAAGGAUGUUUUCAUUAAUCAAGAACGAAAGUUAGGGGAUCGAAGACGAUCAGAUACCGUCGUAGUCUUAACCAUAAACUAUGCCGACUAGGGAUCGGAUGAUGUUAAUUUUUAAUGA
Molecule: ribosomal RNA, 503 nt
Filed under: uncultured Glomus
Lineage: Eukaryota; Fungi; Glomeromycota; Glomeromycetes; Glomerales; Glomeraceae
Description: SSU rRNA
Rfam family: Eukaryotic small subunit ribosomal RNA
Source: RNAcentral